Molecule: long non-coding RNA, 329 nt
Filed under: Androctonus crassicauda
Lineage: Eukaryota; Metazoa; Arthropoda; Arachnida; Scorpiones; Buthidae
Source: RNAcentral
CUUUAAUCUUACGUAAUCUUUAAUCGUAAGUUUUUAAUCUUACAUAAAAUUAAAUUUUUUGCAAUGAUACUUUCAGUGACGGAUUUAACAGACAGUCAAUUCGGUAUUUGUCAAUCGGGCUCUAGCUCACGCGGGCCCUUGUCAGCAUCAAUUUGGUUCUGCAUGGAUGGACAUCAUUUUGUGAUAUUGUUUAUUGAAAAAGAAAAUGACAGAAAUUUUAAAUCUCGAUUGCAUAAUCGAAUAAUUUUCCAAAAUAAGACGGGAUUUUCAACAAUAAUCUAUUUUUUGAUAUUAUAAUACUUUUAUUUUUGUUAAAAGAAAUACAGGCC